GACGAACGCUGGCGGCGUGCCUAACACAUGCAAGUCGAACGGUCCGGCACUCAACCGACCCUCAGUCUAACUGUAGGUGAAGUUGAGUGCCGGAUAGUGGCGGACGGGUGAGUAACGCGUGGGCAACCAACCCUGUACAGUGGGAUAACACCGGGAAACCGGUGCUAAUACCGCAUGACACCUAGAUGGUGCAUACUGGUUUAGGUUAAAGGGCAAAACCGGUACGGGACGGGCCCGCGUCCCAUUAGCUGGUUGGUGAGGUAACGGCUCACCAAGGCGACGAUGGGUAGCCGACCUGAGAGGGUGGCCGGCCACACUGGGGACUGAGACACGGCCCAGACUCCUACGGGAGGCAGCAGUGGGGAAUAUUGCGCAAUGGACGGAAGUCUGACGCAGCGACGCCGCGUGAGCGACGAAGGCCUUCGGGUCGUAAAGCUCUGUUCUUGGGGACGAAGGAAAUGACGGUCCCAAGGAGAAAGCCCCGGCUAACUACGUGCCCAGCAGCCGCGGUAAUAUAAGCGUACUCUGAAA
RNAcentral lists this ribosomal RNA (531 nucleotides) under uncultured bacterium. RNAcentral's name for it is "bacterial SSU rRNA". It matches the Rfam family "Bacterial small subunit ribosomal RNA", at positions 28 to 537 of the family's 1533-position model. The record is from RNAcentral.